CUUCAAUUCUGCCGGGGCUU
RNAcentral lists this transfer RNA (20 nucleotides) under Rhinoceros sondaicus (Javan rhinoceros). Its description in RNAcentral is "partial tRNA-Cys". Lineage: Eukaryota; Metazoa; Chordata; Mammalia; Perissodactyla; Rhinocerotidae. The record is from RNAcentral.